UAUGUUGGUUCGGACAAUCGCGGGGCAUUUCGGUGCUUUGAGGAAAGUCCAUGCUCGCACAGCCUGCGAUGGCUGUAGUGAUCGUGCUACACAAAAAGAUAAGUGUAGGCAGCGUCAAGCUGACGGCAGAAGGAACGCCUAAGUCUUCGGAUAUGGCCGAAACUUCUUGAAGGUGCCACAGUGACGGAGCUUCAUGGGAAACCAUGAAGGUGGAACGAGGUAAACCCCACGAGCGAGAAACCCAAAUUUGGUAGGGGAAUUUCCGGAGCGGAAUUGAACGCGAAGGAGAGCGUAUGCAAAUACGGAGAUAGAUGAUUGUCGCCUGCGUGUGAGGGUCAAACCGUUUGGAACACUAAGGAACAGAACAUGGCUUACAGGACCACAUAGGCU
This 390-nucleotide RNase P RNA is filed under the name Exiguobacterium acetylicum. Its description in RNAcentral is "bacterial RNase P". It matches the Rfam family "Bacterial RNase P class B". From Rfam's summary of the family: Ribonuclease P (RNase P) is a ubiquitous endoribonuclease, found in archaea, bacteria and eukarya as well as chloroplasts and mitochondria. Its best characterised activity is the generation of mature 5'-ends of tRNAs by cleaving the 5'-leader elements of precursor-tRNAs. Cellular RNase Ps are ribonucleoproteins. The record is from RNAcentral. Lineage: Bacteria; Bacillati; Bacillota; Bacilli; Caryophanales. RNAcentral also lists the same sequence under 1 other name.